Molecule: long non-coding RNA, 709 nt
Organism: Helianthus annuus (common sunflower)
Lineage: Eukaryota; Viridiplantae; Streptophyta; Magnoliopsida; Asterales; Asteraceae
Exons: 3
Source: RefSeq, a predicted model, not a curated record
CCAUUGGAGAUUCGAGUACUUAGCGGCGUUCACUGUUUAGAAGUCUUAGCCUUUUGCUUCCGCUGUGCAAUGAAGAUACCGGUCCAGUCACACCAGCUCUGAUAAUUUCGGGGUGUGACACUAUUUGACAUUCUUUCUUUGUGGGGGAUAUGUAUGUUAAAUACCUAUGGUGGAGUAAAAGUUGUUUUUUCUGCCAUGAAGAUGAUCGACUCAGAACCACGAGGCAGCUUGAAAGAGCCGGUUGAGGAUAAAAGUAACUAAGUGCAUUCAAGUUGUUAAAAUCUCGAAAUAUGCCGGUUGGGGCGUGAUGGCCAGUCAUCGCAGGUCCACUUGAAUUCAUUGAUGCGAUGACUUUAGCACAGGCGUGGACUCUUCUGUAUCCAUUAUCUACUUAUAAGGUCCACUUGAAUUUGCUGAUGCAAUGACUUUAGCACAGGUAUGCCACCUAUUGUAUUCACAAUUUCCAUUGAUUUCUCUACAUUAAUUAGUUGUUCACUGUUUACAUUCAUUCCUAUAGUUCUAUGCAUGUUAUGUUUUAAUGACACCUUUAGUGGUCCGGGUUUUUUUUUUCCGGAUAUUGUUUUGCUAAGUGUUUGUUUUAAAAUCGUCGUUAGUUUUUUACAUGUUUGAAGAGCAGGUUAAUCAGGAGAAGCUCAUAUUGUUACAUAAUCCUACAUUGAUUUAAAUUGCUUUAACAUGUACCACCAAG